UGGAUUUUCUUAAAGUGCGAUCAUAGUCCGAUAAAGAUGAUGAUUCUUUCUGAGCUUCACGCCUCUUUUUUUGUUCAGCCUCAACCCUUUGUCGUAGAUCUUCUGGCCGUAGUAAGAGGUACGGCUUCUCAGGGUUUCGCUUGGCUUCUCUUUCAGUCUUAAGUUUCUUGAAGAAACUAUCCACAUCUGAUUUUACUGAAGCAUUUAGUUCUGCAUCAGUCAUCUCAUAGGACAACUUCUUAGGAAUGAUAGCUUGUUUCUUUUCGGAGGCUUUCUUUUUUGGCGGCGGGGCGGCCGACACAUUUGAUUUUGUGGCCGGCCUCUUCUUUCGUGCU
This 335-nucleotide long non-coding RNA is filed under the name Sorghum bicolor (sorghum). Its description in RNAcentral is "long non-coding RNA (SBIC_LNC012046)". Lineage: Eukaryota; Viridiplantae; Streptophyta; Magnoliopsida; Poales; Poaceae. The record is from RNAcentral.